UUGCUUCAGCAGCACACGUUAUAAAACUGGAAUGGUUUAGGAAGAUUAACAUGGUCUCUGCACAAGGAUGUCAUGCAAGCUCGUGACAUGAAGCAUUCCAUG
Molecule: small nuclear RNA, 102 nt
Organism: Myodes glareolus (Bank vole)
Lineage: Eukaryota; Metazoa; Chordata; Mammalia; Rodentia; Cricetidae
Source: RefSeq, a predicted model, not a curated record